GUUUAUUAAAAUAACAUUGCCUUUAAGUAGGAAAAUAAUAAAAAGUUCCAGAACAGAAAAUGCAGGUAAUAGAUAUCUGCGUUAAUCUGCACUUUGUCUUUCGGCAAUAAGAGAUUUAGUUUUGCAUGGACACGUAUCCAAGAAGGCUUUUCACCAGAAGAUGAGAGUAUGGAGAGAACCAUAGACUUAUGUGAUGGAGGAAAAAGCAAGGAGAACGUGAAAGAUGAGGAAAGCAUUUUGGAAGUUAUUGGCACUACAUAUCAUGAGAAAAACAGCCACAGCCCAAUUUCCUAAAAAGUAAGUAACAAAAAUACACCACCAGAAAUAAGGUAAUCUCCAUUAUGGUGAAAAUAUCUAUAAAAUAAAAAAUAAGCAAAAAAGACUUUUGGUUCCUCU
RNAcentral lists this long non-coding RNA (396 nucleotides) under Sus scrofa (pig). Its description in RNAcentral is "lncRNA (ENSSSCG00070009132.1)". Lineage: Eukaryota; Metazoa; Chordata; Mammalia; Artiodactyla; Suidae. The record is from RNAcentral.